GCCCGGAUAGCCAAGUGGUUGGCCUGUCACAUUUCGUUGCAGGUCCAUAAACGGCGGCAGCCUGGAAAGCUGCUGUCCUUUGUGGACGCGUGCGUUCGAAUCGCACUCCGGGCG
This 114-nucleotide transfer RNA is filed under the name Promethearchaeota archaeon. RNAcentral's name for it is "Candidatus Lokiarchaeota archaeon (microbial mat metagenome) tRNA-Ser". It matches the Rfam family "tRNA". Rfam says of the family: Transfer RNA (tRNA) molecules are approximately 80 nucleotides in length. The record is from RNAcentral. Lineage: Archaea; Promethearchaeati; Promethearchaeota.